Molecule: ribosomal RNA, 242 nt
Filed under: uncultured bacterium
Lineage: Bacteria
Description: partial 16S ribosomal RNA
Rfam family: Bacterial small subunit ribosomal RNA
Source: RNAcentral
CUCCCUACGGGACGCAGCAGUGGGGAAUAUUGCACAAUGGGGGAAACCCUGAUGCAGCGACGCCGCGUGAGUGAAGAAGUAUUUCGGUAUGUAAAGCUCUAUCAGCAGGGAAGAAAAUGACGGUACCUGACUAAGAAGCCCCGGCUAACUACGUGCCAGCAGCCGCGGUAAUACGUAGGGGGCAAGCGUUGUUCGGAAUGACUGGGCGUAAAGGGUGCGUAGGCGGUUGUACAAGUUAGAAG